RNAcentral lists this non-coding RNA (27 nucleotides) under Mus musculus (house mouse). Lineage: Eukaryota; Metazoa; Chordata; Mammalia; Rodentia; Muridae. The record is from RNAcentral.
CAAACAGCACUCAGACCGUUGGAGAAC